GAUGAAGAACGUAGCGAAAUGCGAUAAGUAAUGUGAAUUGCAGAAUUCAGUGAAUCAUCGAAUCUUUGAACGCACAUUGCGCCCGGUAGUAUUCUGCCGGGCAUGCCUGUUCGAGCGUCAUUUCAACCAUCAAGCCUCGCUUGGUAUUGGGCAACGCGGUCCGCCGCGUGCCUCAAAUCGACCGGCUGGGUCUUCUGUCCCCUAAGCGUUGUGGAAACUAUUCGCUAAAGGGUGUUCGGGAGGCUACGCCGUAAAACAACCCCAUUUCUAAGGUUGACCUCGGAUCAGGUAGGGAUACCCGCUGAACUUAAGCAUAUCAAUAAGCGGAGGA
RNAcentral lists this unclassified non-coding RNA (331 nucleotides) under soil metagenome. RNAcentral describes it as "partial contains 5.8S ribosomal RNA, internal transcribed spacer 2, and large subunit ribosomal RNA". The stretch from base 1 to 120 matches the Rfam family "5.8S ribosomal RNA", at positions 35 to 154 of the family's 154-position model. The record is from RNAcentral.